GACUGCGUACCUUUUGUAUAAUGGGUCAGCGACUUAUAUUUAGUAGCAAGGUUAAGUGAAUAACGGAGCCGUAGCGAAAGCGAGUGUUAACUGCGCGUUUAGUUGCUAGGUAUAGACCCGAAACCCGGUGAUCUAGCCAUGAGCAGGUUGAAGGUUGAGUAACAUCAACUGGAGGACCGAACCCACUAACGUUGAAAAGUUAGGGGAUGACUUGUGGCUGGGGGUGAAAGGCCAAUCAAACCGGGAGAUAGCUGGUUCUCCCCGAAAGCUAUUUAGGUAGCGCCUCGGAUGAAUUCCUUUGGGGGUAGAGCACUGUUUGGGCUAGGGGGUCAUCCCGACUUACCAACCCCAUGCAAACUCCGAAUACCGUAGAGUACUAUCCGGGAGACACACGGCGGGGGCUAACGUCCGUCGUGAAAAGGGAAACAACCCUGACCUCCAGCUAAGGCCCCUAAUUCAUGGCUAAGUGGGAAAGCAGGUGGGACGACCAAAACAACCAGGAGGUUGGCUUAGAAGCAGCCACCCUUUAAAGAAAGCGUAAUAGCUCACUAGUCGAGU
Molecule: ribosomal RNA, 558 nt
Filed under: Pseudo-nitzschia fraudulenta
Lineage: Eukaryota; Bacillariophyta; Bacillariophyceae; Bacillariales; Bacillariaceae
Description: partial Bacterial large subunit ribosomal RNA
Rfam family: Bacterial large subunit ribosomal RNA
Source: RNAcentral